RNAcentral lists this ribosomal RNA (431 nucleotides) under uncultured bacterium. Its description in RNAcentral is "partial 16S ribosomal RNA". It matches the Rfam family "Bacterial small subunit ribosomal RNA", at positions 29 to 507 of the family's 1533-position model. The record is from RNAcentral.
AACGAACGCUGGCGGCAGGCCUAACACAUGCAAGUCGAGCGCCCUUUCGGGGGAGCGUCGGACGGGUGAGUAACGCGUGGGAAUAUGCCCUUCUCUACGGAAUAGCCUCGGGAAACUGAGAGUAAUACCGUAUACGCCCUUUGGGGGAAAGAUUUAUCGGGGAAGGAUUAGCCCGCGUUGGAUUAGGUAGUUGGUGGGGUAAUGGCCUACCAAGCCGACGAUCCAUAGCUGGUUUGAGAGGAUGAUCAGCCACACUGGGACUGAGACACGGCCCAGACUCCUACGGGAGGCAGCAGUGGGGAAUCUUAGACAAUGGGGGCAACCAUGAUCUAGCCAUGCCGCGUGAGUGAUGAAGGCCUUAGGGUUGUAAAGCUCUUUAAGCUGGGAAGAUAAUGACGGUACCAGCAGAAGAAGCCCCGGCUAACUCCGUG